This 465-nucleotide ribosomal RNA is filed under the name uncultured bacterium. Its description in RNAcentral is "partial 16S ribosomal RNA". It matches the Rfam family "Bacterial small subunit ribosomal RNA", at positions 28 to 507 of the family's 1533-position model. The record is from RNAcentral.
GACGAACGCUGGCGGCGUGCUUAACACAUGCAAGUCGAACGGAAAGGCCCCUUCGGGGGUACUCGAGUGGCGAACGGGUGAGUAACACGUGAGUAACCUGCCCUUGACUUCGGGAUAACUUCAGGAAACUGGGGCUAAUACCGGAUAGGAAUCCUUGCUGCAUGGUGGGGGUUGGAAAGCUUCGGCGGUUUUGGAUGGACUCGCGGCUUAUCAGCUUGUUGGUGGGGUAGUGGCUUACCAAGGCUUUGACGGGUAGCCGGCCUGAGAGGGCGACCGGCCACAUUGGGACUGAGAUACGGCCCAGACUCCUACGGGAGGCAGCAGUGGGGAAGAUUGCACAAUGGGCGGAAGCCUGAUGCAGCAACGCCGCGGGCGGGAUGACGGCCUUCGGGUUGUAAACCGCUUUCAGCAGGGGCGAAGCUUGUGGUGACGGUACCUGCAGAAGAAGCACCGGCUAACUACGUG